GAUGAACGCUGGCGGCGUGCCUAAUACAUGCAAGUCGAGCGAACGGACGAGAAGCUUGCUUCUCUGAUGUUAGCGGCGGACGGGUGAGUAACACGUGGAUAACCUACCUAUAAGACUGGGAUGACUUCGGGAAACCGGAGCUAAUACCGGAUGAUAUUUUGAACCGCAUGGUUCAAAAGUGAAAGACGGUCUUGCUGUCACUUAUAGAUGGAUCCGCGCUGCAUUAGCUAGUUGGUAAGGUAACGGCUUACCAAGGCAACGAUGCAUAGCCGACCUGAGAGGGUGAUCGGCCACACUGGAACUGAGACACGGUCCAGACUCCUACGGGAGGCAGCAGUAGGGAAUCUUCCGCAAAGGGCGAAAGCCUGACGGAGCAACGCCGCGUGAGUGAUGAAGGUCUUCGGAUCGUAAAACUCUGUUAUUAGGGAAGAACAUAUGUGUAAGUAACUGUGCACAUCUUGACGGUACCUAAUCAGAAAGCCACGGCUAACUACGUG
RNAcentral lists this ribosomal RNA (497 nucleotides) under uncultured bacterium. RNAcentral's name for it is "partial 16S ribosomal RNA". It matches the Rfam family "Bacterial small subunit ribosomal RNA", at positions 28 to 507 of the family's 1533-position model. The record is from RNAcentral.